CCUACGGGAGGCAGCAGUGAGGAAUAUUGGUCAAUGGGCGCGAGUCUGAACCAGCCAAGUAGCGUGAAGGAUGACUGCCCUAUGGGUUGUAAACUUCUUUUAUAAAGGAAUAAAGUGAGGCACGUGUGCCUUUUUGCAUGUACUUUAUGAAUAAGGAUCGGCUAACUCCGUGCCAGCAGCCGCGGUAAUACGGAGGAUCCGAGCGUUAUCCGGAUUUAUUGGGUUUAAAGGGAGCGUAGAUGGGUUGUUAAGUCAGUUGUGAAAGUUUGCGGCUCAACCGUAAAAUUGCAAUUGAUACUGGCAGCCUUGAGUACAGUUGAGGUAGGCGGAAUUCGUGGUGUAGCGGUGAAAUGCUUAGAUAUCACGAAGAACCCCGAUUGCGAAGGCAGCUUACUAAACUGUGACUGACAUUGAUGCUCGAAAGUGUGGGUAUCAAACAGGAUUAGAGACCCGUGUAGUC
RNAcentral lists this ribosomal RNA (460 nucleotides) under uncultured bacterium. RNAcentral describes it as "partial 16S ribosomal RNA". It matches the Rfam family "Bacterial small subunit ribosomal RNA", at positions 338 to 795 of the family's 1533-position model. The record is from RNAcentral.